AUAAGUCAAAAAGGGCGAAAGAAGGAGGGGGACAACAUGAGAAAAAGGGAAGAUCCUUCGAAAAAGAAGGAAAAGAACGUUGAAAGAAGAAGGAUACUAGAAAAGCUAAGGAAAAUCUUCUUCCCCAUCUACACACAUCUUCUUUUUUUUUAAUACUAAUAGAACCAUGAAAAUCUUCAUGUAACAGCAGCCUAAAUUACCACCUACAAGCCAUCAUUUCCUCCAUAAAAAUUGUCAUAUAAGCCCGCCUAAAAUAGAAAACGCAGCUGAACAAAACAGCCCCAAAAGAGCCCAACUCCCAGCCAAAAAUGCCGCUGAAACGUUGCUAAAAAGCAUUCAGUAAAGAAGCUAUAAUCACUUCAAAAAUACAGCUGCGUCGCACCUCGAAAUAGUCCGAGUUUCAGCCAAGAACUGCGGCCAAAGAACGUUGCUGUUCAACCUCCAUAAAACCAGAUCUAUCACCACCUUAGCUUCUCCAAAACCACCAUAAAUCAUCUCCAAAAGCUUCAGCAAAAUAGUCUCCGAUCAACAUCACAAAUCACUCAUUUUUUUGGUUUCUCUACUUCCGAGUUUCGAGGUUCCGGUGCGGUCUCCUGUCGCAGGUCUUUUUCGGGUUCUUUAUCCGAGUUCUAGCUUCGAGGUUUCAUGUAUUUUUGAUGAUGUUGGAGCGUCAUGUUUGGAUCUAUUGAAGAGGCUUACUUGCUGAAUGUAAAGGUUCAUUCUUACCAUUUUAUUGAAGUUGUUUAGCCAUUCUAUUAAUUUGUUUAUCGUCCUUGUCCAUGUGUUUUGCUUGUCUUGUGUUGAUGUCAUGAGUAUAGGAUCUCUUUGAAUGUCUCGUCGUGAAUUAUUUCCUUCGUUUCAUAUUAAGUGAGAUAGUUUAACUCGGUAUUAAGUUAAAAAAGAAUUUUUUUGAAACUUGUGAUCUUAAAAGAUUAUGGAGUAAAAAGUUAUGUUAUUUGUGUGACGGUAAAAGCUUCUCAUUAAGAACAAAAUAGAAUAAAAUAAAAAGUUUAAAGAUGAAUUAUUUUUAAAUUUUAAAAUAUAUCAUUUAUUUAGAAACAUAUUAAAAAGAAAAAUACCAUAAUAACCUACUUAUUAUGAAACAGAGAGAAUAGUUAUGUUUAAGCAUUGGGGAAUGCAGUAGCUUGUUGGGCCAUAUGAUUUUGGGGUGUAUCAAAUAACAAAUAACGGGCCAUGUGUUUGCUUGACAGAAAUGUAUUAUCCUACGGUAGAAAUCUAUUUACUAUUUUUAUUUAGGUUUUUUAUUAAUAACUAUAUAUAUUUAUAUUUAUUUGUUUUACCUAAAAUAUUAAAAAAAGAAUCAGUUACGUAAAAUAUCUUAUAUUUAAGAUACCCAAAUUUAAUACUUACCCAAAAUCUCUUCAUUUCCUCAACAAAUCCAUCCCAAAAUCAUUUUUUCUCUUUUCAAUUAACAACUCCCUUCACGCUAAGACCCACCUCCAAAAUUGUAGAUUCUUUCCUCUUCCAAAGCUAUUGAUGUACGAUUUCUCCCUUUAAUCGUCC
This 1524-nucleotide long non-coding RNA is filed under the name Nicotiana benthamiana. RNAcentral describes it as "long non-coding RNA (NBEN_LNC033784)". The record is from RNAcentral. Lineage: Eukaryota; Viridiplantae; Streptophyta; Magnoliopsida; Solanales; Solanaceae.